RNAcentral lists this ribosomal RNA (635 nucleotides) under Propionibacteriaceae bacterium Se1Ps_1942. Its description in RNAcentral is "bacterial SSU rRNA". It matches the Rfam family "Bacterial small subunit ribosomal RNA", at positions 382 to 1028 of the family's 1533-position model. Lineage: Bacteria; Bacillati; Actinomycetota; Actinomycetes; Propionibacteriales; Propionibacteriaceae. The record is from RNAcentral.
CCUGACGCAGCAACGCCGCGUGCGGGAUGACGGCCUUCGGGUUGUAAACCGCUUUCAGCAGGGACGAAGGGUCACCUUGACGGUACCUGCAGAAGAAGCACCGGCUAACUACGUGCCAGCAGCCGCGGUGAUACGUAGGGUGCGAGCGUUGUCCGGAAUUAUUGGGCGUAAAGAGCUUGUAGGCGGUCUGUUGCGUCGGAAGUGAAAACUCAGGGCUUAACCCUGAGCCUGCUUUCGAUACGGGCAGACUUGAGGGAUGUAGGGGAGAACGGAAUUCCUGGUGGAGCGGUGGAAUGCGCAGAUAUCAGGAGGAACACCAGUGGCGAAGGCGGUUCUCUGGACAUUUCCUGACGCUGAGAAGCGAAAGCGUGGGGAGCAAACAGGCUUAGAUACCCUGGUAGUCCACGCCGUAAACGGUGGGCACUAGGUGUGGGUUCCAUUCCACGGAAUCCGUGCCGAAGCUAACGCAUUAAGUGCCCCGCCUGGGGAGUACGGCCGCAAGGCUAAAACUCAAAGGAAUUGACGGGGGCCCGCACAAGCGGCGGAGCAUGCGGAUUAAUUCGAUGCAACGCGAAGAACCUUACCUGGGUUUGACAUAUGCCGGAGACACCUAGAGAUAGGUGCCCCGCAAGGCC